CCUACGGUGGGCUGCAGUCGAGAAUCAUUCACACUUGGGGAAACCCUGAUGGUGCGACGCCGCGUGGGGGAAUGAAGGUCUUCGGAUUGUAAACCCCUGUCAUGUGGGAGCAAAUUAAAAAGAUAGUACCACAAGAGGAAGAGACGGCUAACUCUGUGCCAGCAGCCGAGGUAAUACAGAGGUCUCAAGCUUUAUUCGGAAUCACUGGACGUAAAGCGUGCGUAGGCUGUUUCGUAAGUAGUGUGUGAAAUGCGCGGGCUCAACCCGCGGACUGCACAUGAUACUGCGAGACUAGAGGAAGGGAGGGGGAACCAGAAUUCUCGGUGUAGCAGUGAAAUGCGUAGAUAUCGAGAGGAACACUAGUGGCGAAGGCGGGUUCCUGGACAUUAACUGACGCUGAGGCACGAAGGCCAGGGGAGCGAAAGGGAUUAGAUACCCGAGUAGUC
Molecule: ribosomal RNA, 446 nt
Filed under: uncultured bacterium
Lineage: Bacteria
Description: partial 16S ribosomal RNA
Rfam family: Bacterial small subunit ribosomal RNA
Source: RNAcentral